Molecule: RNA transcript, 4762 nt
Organism: Rhipicephalus microplus (southern cattle tick)
Lineage: Eukaryota; Metazoa; Arthropoda; Arachnida; Ixodida; Ixodidae
Source: RefSeq, a predicted model, not a curated record
UUCUCGCAUGAGUUACUUCAGCGAUCGAUCGGAUGCGUUGUGAUUACGGCAGCUCUUUCGGUGCGUGUUAGCAGUGGGGAAAGCUGCGACAGUGCAAUGGUGUACGGUGAAGCGCAGCGAAGCCUGUGCGACAGUGUGGUUAUCAAGCGGGGAUCGGCGCCGGUGUAUCGACGGCAACUUGCACUCGACGGCAACUUGCUCUCGACAAGCCUGCAAUGUGUGUUUGUGUGCCGGUAACAGUUCGUUCGCUUGACUUUCCAGUCUCUUUGUUGGGAGCUGUGCGACAUUUCGGAUUGACAGUGUUUUGGCACGUUACUUCAGUGACCCCAAGUACGUACGGAAACGUAUGAACUGCUCGCUGAGUCCGAUUCUUGCUUCGCCAUUGGUUAGCCCAUACGCUUCUAUUUUCUUGUGAGCAAUCUAGUGUUCGAGAGUGAAAUGAUGUUCGUUGUGAACAGUGGUGCUGUGUUGACAUUCCAAGACUUGUGAAGAAGCUGUGCUCGUGUGACCGAAAAUUGAAAGACAGCGUUGAUAACUGUUUUGCACUGCUAAGUUGCGGUGGUGGAGCUUGGCGCUUUUGCUUGUUAACUCGUCACUUCUCCUUUUUGUGAUAACCAUAGUCAUAGCGCUGUGAUGUGAUCAACCAAAGCUGCGAGAUGCUACAUUCUGUUGUGGAUUGUGUUACUUUGGCAGCGCGCCUAGACUGUUCUUCGGUAAAAACUUGAGAGUUCUAUGUGGCAGCGAGAGCCCGUGAACGUCAAGCUUCCCUCCGGCCCCCAGAAAGAGCAAAUAUUUCUCCGGUGCCCAGCUUUAGACGAAGUCGUAGGCCAAUACCGCCUAACUACAGUUUUCCGAGUUCAUCUGGCCAACAUUUUGCACGGCACUAGAGCCUUGACAACUGCUGGUCAUGGCCAGUUCUUACAGGUACACGCCAGGCCAGCCCUUCAUUGCUAUCAUCGGCAGCUUCCAGUCUGCAGAUGCUCUUUGCCUGUUGGCCGUAGAGCACACUUGAUUCCUCAUGACACAGAAGGCUACUAAAUGCUGCCAUCGGAGCCAGGUUGCACUUAAGAAAUUUUUUAUUUUGGAAAAUUAGUUCCAUAGACCAUUACCACUGUGGGAGCACUAUACUUCACUAGGACAUCUAUAUUCCGGUAUGUAAGUUUUACAUAAGGCUUCAGUUUAUUCAAAAGUGAUUAUAGCAGAUUUUGGUCACUUUGACGAAGUGAUAGCUUCGUCAAAUAAGUAUUAGAAGUGAGUGCUUUUAAUGAUUGUUUUUAAGUAUCUCGUUUUUGGCUCUUAGAUUGCAGAGAUUGGUUUCUUAAGGUCCUGUGAUGCAUCGGUUGCAGACACUGGCACAUCAAUCCUCAUCAUGACUUGGAGCACCUAAACAAAAAUAGAAAGGGCACGUGCUCCCUAACUGUGCAAGUCUAUGUCACUGCUGGGACUGUUAUCAUUCAGCAUAUGUGGCCUGGAACCAUGCAUGGCAGUUUCAUCUGGAAGGACUGCGAUCUGCUUGGGAGCUUCGAGGGCAUAAAACUGCCUAAGAGCUGGCUGCAAAGUGACGUUCAGUGUGUUUCAAAGCCUUGGUCCUCAUGUCUCCGUCUAUGGCUAGCCUACUUCAGCAGCAGUGCGAUGCAGCCAGCACACAUGCAAGCCAAGUCAUGGAGCGCUCCUUUGGUGUUCUGUGCAGAACGCAGCAUAUCCAUCUGGCAAUGCACUGGUAUCAACAAUAAUGGCGAGUGUUAGUGGCACCUGUAGGAGCCCGUUGUGUUUGUUGCGUAUGAUUAUUUCCCCUGAUGAAGUGCAUUUUUGAAAGGAUUUCUUCGUUUGGAAUAAUAGAUGUCAGUAAGAAGCACACUCAUAACCAUCAAGUGUUUGUCUCCUAGACUGCCCUAUUGUUCCUAUACGUGGUACGGUGAGCUGACUAUGUUAUACAGCCUUAAAGUUAUGAACAUUGGCUGUUGUGUUGUAAUGCAGUCUAACUUGUGUUUCUUAGUGAACUUAUUUGCGGUCUGCUUCUUGCACCUAGUGUAAAGUCAAAAUAGAAGAAACUUUAUUGGCUUUAUAUACCUUGCAGAAGUUUCAUGCCUUCAUCUAUAACAUUGUAGUUUUGCUCUUGUAUCAUAAUAAAAUAUAUUUUUGGUCUUCACUGUUUGUGUGUGUGUUGAGGCCUGUCAUUGACUUCUGAAAAUACGACAUCUGUAAAUAUGAGCACAUAUUAAACAACUUUCCACUCUUGCAUGUAGCAUGGUUGUAACAAUGACCUGUAUUUUUCUAAGUUCUAGCACUAACAAGGGAUGUACAGUGUAUGACAGUCAUGUACAGUGUAUCAAAAACAGAGCACGGAAGACCAACAAGUACAAUGGGACUGCCAGUGACUGUUCUCCUGCUCAAAAUUUACGGCAGCAGAAAGAGCACAUUGGAUGUCAGGAGCAGUUUGAAUUGUAUACGUAGUAACAUUCUGUGCAGCUGCAGCUUAACUUCUUAGCAGUGCAUUAUUCAGCAUUCAGUUCCUUUGCUUGCAUUCCAAAUUAUUUAAAUUUUGCAUGGAAAAUACCAAACUAUGACAGUAAAUUAAAGGCUGCUGUAGUGUUGGUGGGCAAAUAUUUUUGAGCUGAAGUUUUUAACAUGCGUGUUAAGUCCCUGCAUAUCUUUGCAUUUACCUGUCAUAAAUCACAGCAUCUAUGGUCGGCAAUGGUAACUGUGUUUGCAUUCUUUGUAGUACAAGAAGUAAAGCCAUGGAUGCGGUAAUCAUGUACUCAGCCGAUGUAAUCCUUCAGUGUACACUCAUUUGUACAGCACCAAUGAUGCCAUGAGUGUGUAAGCUCUGGGAAGUGAAUCUAUGUGAAUUGUUUUAUUUGGAAGGACGAGGAUCAUCAUUACUCUUGUAUAUCUUAACAGUAGAUUUUAGUGCUUGUUUAUUGUUAUCUCACUGCCUGUCCAUCUUUCAACAGUCUACUUCUCUGUUUCUAGUGUGUAAGUUAAACUUUUUUAAUGUAUACUUUGCUCAGAUAGGUUUGUUCAUGUUAUAAUUGUGUACUAUGCAAGUGACUUAUCAUCCAUCCAGCUUCAUUUAGACUAGAAAUAACAGUAUUUAAUUAAUUUAUAUAUAGCUAUAGUAUGCAUUUACUUAUCUUUUUCUAGGUGUCUGUACAAUUGUUUAGCCCUACAAAGGUACAGGUAUACUCUAAUAUUGAAGCUGGCAUCUUAAAAUACUUUGUUAGAGAAGCAAUAAUGUGUUUAUAACCAUCAAUACUAUGCUCAGAUGAGCUGUGAAAACCCUAUGGAAAUGUAUUUACAUUUUUCUAACUCUGUGAAGGUAAUUGUUCUUAUGUUCUUUCAUUGUUGUCUCUGUUUCAUGCAAAUGACACAUAAUUACUUCACAGUGGCAUAGUAUUACUUGUUAUUUUACACAUAUGUGCUGAACAAGAUCGCAGUUGAGGCCAGCAGCAUGACCUACAUGCAGUGCACUAGAGCAUCGCCUCACAUAAUUAGUGUACAGUCUUUGCCCACCAGUGAACUGAAUAUUUUUCAAGCAGACUAAAAGACAGCUGUAUGGAAACUGUGUUGAUGUGCAAACUUUGAAGUCUUCUUGAGCAGUGUUUUUCAUCAUUUUUGUCCAAGUGAACUAGCUGCCCAAAGCCACAACUGGUGGGAAUGUGGUGGUUUCCUCUCUCCAAAACCACUCCUACCAGCUGCCUCAAUGUUAGCGUUGGGUGAUUCUCGAACUGGAAAAAUAAUUGGUCUUUGUUUUCUUGGCCGAAAGGGUCACUUCCCUCGUUGAACCACCGCUACGCACCAGGCAAGAAACUUUUAGCUAAAUAAAGUUGAUUCUACUUUUGAGAAGUGUUUUCGGGAAACAAAAUGGCGCCUAUAGCUGUCAAUAUAAACACUGUUCGCACCAAGGAGCUUAGUAGCCUAUAUUUGUAUUAUUCAUGUGUUGUCAGAAUUUCUUUGCACUGUGCCAAAUUUCAGCCCAAGUGUCCUUACAUGCUUUGUUAGUGUGUUGUGAAUGAGCCAUGCUAUUUAAAUAAACAGAGUGAUAUGGCAGACAUUUACAAAUUAUUGAUGCACAGUCCUUUUCUUUAGCAUGACAUUUUCAUGGGCUUUAUUCUUGUGUUUCUUAUAAAAACUGCUUGUCACUGAACAGCAGAAACUAUGCAUCAAGCUUUUGAGAGAUAAUUCGAGAAACACCGUGUUCAUAUAUAACACUGCUGGUGGAUUCCUCUGGUAAGUUACAUUCUGUAUGUUCAAGAUGAGUGUAUUAGAAUUGUUGUUUUAUAGCCAUUCAUUUUAAUAUUUACACUUGAGUGCAGGUAUGUAUUCCAGAAGGACUUGUUUUUGGGCUAGUUGGUGCAUACUUGGUGCAGAAGACUGAGGCGCAAAAAACAUGACGUGAAGCAGGAAGAGCAGGAGAAAAGACAGAACAGCGCCAACUACCAACUGUUUAAUGACCGUCUAGAAAACGCACUGGAAGGAACACAAAACCGCGCAUGCGUUCACAGCCAACAAACAUCGCACAGCGUCAUGAACAAGGCACUAAGUUAUCCAAAAAAUGCAUUUCUGUUGGGUACAACACAAUAGAUGUAUCACUGAUACAGUCGGGCCCCUUUUUUUUGAUAAAGUAGGCUUCCAAGAGCUGUUUAUUUUUUGCUCCUACCAAGAAUCACCGUUUUUUCAAACAAUGGCACACAUCCACAGGCUUUACAAUGCACUGGAAGAUGCGCAUGCUCGCUUUUGCCUAAACUAUUGGCAUGCUCCC